UGACCGUGCAAAGGUAGCAUAAUCAUUAGUUUUUUAAUUGAAAACUGGUAUGAAUGGUUAGACGAAAAAAACACUGUCUUUUUUUUAAAAAUUGAACCCUACCUUAUUUUGACCGUGCAAAGGUUUUUUUAAGGGACGAUAAGACCCUAUAAAGCUUUAUAAAUUAAUGGGUGUUUUGUUGAAAUUGUUAUUAAAUAGUGAAAACUUGUUGUUUAUUUUAUUGGGGCGAUAAAAAUAUAAUUAAUUUUAACUAUUAAAAGUUAACACACUAAAUAGGUGAAUUGCCUUAAAAGAUCCUUUGUGUGGAUUAUAAGAACAAGUUACUUUAGGGAUAACAGCGUUAUUUCUUUUAAGAGUUCAUAUCAAAAGUAAAGUCUGCGACCUCGAUGUUGAAUUAAAAUUUCUAAGUAGUGCAGCAGCUACUAAAGAGGGUCUGUUCGACCUUUAAAAAA
This 452-nucleotide ribosomal RNA is filed under the name Apiomithrax violaceus. RNAcentral's name for it is "partial 16S ribosomal RNA". It matches the Rfam family "Archaeal large subunit ribosomal RNA", at positions 2020 to 2664 of the family's 2987-position model. Lineage: Eukaryota; Metazoa; Arthropoda; Malacostraca; Decapoda; Epialtidae. The record is from RNAcentral.